AAUAAUUACUUUAAUCUUUUGUUCUGUGUGUGACUGAUGGAUUUAUGUUGUUAAAUGAAAAGGUCUCUCUCUACUUACACAGUUCAUUCAACCAUAACUUAUAAAGACGCUCUAAAUAAGAAAGUUGACCUGCAGAGACCCCCUCCACCUGCAGUGAUGAUGCAGAUAUCACAAUACAGAUAUCAGCUCUUCUCCUAAAUGACGAAAUAUCAGUCAAGCAAGCAUGUGUCAUGUCUUGUAUGUAUUUGAAAGUUAGUGGUUUCUGGGAUGAGGAGUUUUAUCUCAGGUUCUUAAAUCCAGAAAACCUGUUAUACAACCAUAAUAGUUCAGACUAAAAUGAAGUCUGCAGCUGUAGAAUUUAGAAAUGUCUAUCUUCUUAGAGAAAAUAUAAAUCAUACUGAAACUUUCCAAAACAUUGUUCUUAACUUUUCAAUGGCAGACUGUAAUGUUAAUUAAUGUAAAUGAUAGAAGGCAAGUCAAGCAUGGAGUGUGUGUAUGUGCCAGUGUAGUGAUUCAGAAAGUGAUGAGACAUGCUGUGAGCCAACAUAAACACACAGUAGAAUCACGUGCAGUUGCCAGGGAUAAAAUACAAGUCUGACAUGAAAAAAACUCUAGAUAGAGAAAGCGAGAAAGGCAGUUCAGUAGUUAGGAGAGAAAGAAGGAUGGGAGAAGGAAGAGAAGUAAGGUGGUUGAGCUGGGUUAAUUACUAUGCUGAAAGAUAAAUUACCCAGUAAGCUGCUCCCAGCUGUACUCCUUAACCUCUACAAGGCGUGUAUUUGGGUGUUCUCUUUUCAAGCAAGAGUGUGUACAACAAAUCAUUCAAUACCUUGGUCAGAUCUCUUUUUGUGCUCAGUAAGACAAUCAAUGUUAAGCUAUUGCAGAAUUACUUUAUUUGCAAACAUUUGUCACUAAUGAUUAAUAUUCCACAACUGAAAGUGUCCAGUAAUAGGAACAAUCAAGUAUGCGUUUUUCUUUUGACCACUGAUGGCUUGGGAUGCAUUAACACUUUUAGUGCAGACCCGAGUCCAUGUGAAGUCAGAGUCCUGUUUGUUUUAUUGUGUAAACACCAGCAAAUGCCACCUUAGUUCACAGUGCAGACAGACACAAGCAGAGUUCUAUGCUUGUUCUGUACAAGACAAAAUCAUAAGUAAAAUGGUAAAGGCUGACUUGUUAGCCAACUACUGAUAAACAGUUAAAAAUAAAAAAUAAAUAAUGCUGUGAGAAGUAAGACCUGAGUGGGCAGCGGAAGUAAAGUCUUUGAGGCCGGGGUCCCUUUAACAUGCUCUACCUGUGCAGAAGGCUGUCUGGUUCAAGCGCAACAUACAAAUGGAUGAAACUAAAUGGCAUUCAGCACAAAGCAGGGUGAGUUUCUGAUAAUGCAAACGUUUACAUCAAUGACGUCUAUCUAUCCGUCCUUUGUACUCAAGGCCAUCCGGUCUCUCUUUUCUAUCACAUGUGAAGUUAUUGUGACAAAAAAAGAUGUGACAAAUGAGUAAAAAGACAGAGGACACAUCAAGGAAAGCGGAAAAAGUGUAAAAGCAGUUGUCUGGCUUAAAAGCUUUCAUCUCUCUGGAUGUGGAUCAAAGCUGACUACUGCUUUAGGAUUCCACUCUUUAGGCGGAUUAGCAACCGACAAUUUGCGUCUCUCUGAAUGUGGACAGGAUAGUGAGCAUGGUGGUCUGGACACCACCUUACACUGCACCUUAAACCACCAUUAUGUGUGUGCGCAUAAGAAGAUUCUACAAUGAAUUCUACGCUUGUCAGAUAAAUGAAUAAAAGCAUUGAAGAUGAAAAGCACAGAGGCCUUUGCUCAACUUUUGUGUGUGAGCUCGGAUGGCUACACGUGCAAAGCUCGUCUGGUCUAGCAACCGAAUUGUGCACAAAUGAGGUUGCCUGUUUAGAUUUCAGUGUGUUUAUGUUUGCAAGUUUGUUUAAACCUCUCUAAGGUCACUAUUUGCGUGUGGAUGUGUGUUUUCGGCUGAGAGGUUUGGCACAAACUCCCUGUCUGCUGUCUGGAGGUGUAUGGAUAUGUGUGUGUGUAUUGAUGCUAUUUCUGCAGUCUGACUAACAUCAGUGGGUUCUGGCACUAACACACUAUUCUUUCCUGGUGCCCCAUCGCAAACCAGAACUGUCACUUUUGUGUAUGCGUGUGUGUAAAUGACAGAAAAAGCAAGACUGAAUGAUGAGUUUCUCUGUUUUAUAAUGUUGGACAAGCAGUAUUACCUAAAUAUGUUUGUGUGUAUGUGUGUGUUUGUGUUGAGCCAGGUGGCUCUAGAGGGAGAGAGCUGUUUCUAUUUCAGACCUCAACCUAAGGCCUAUUAUGGAAAUAAGAGGACGAAAGAGAGCAAGAGACAAAGACAGAGUGAAAGACAGAAAGAAAAAAAAUAGCAGUAACAAACAAAGCUGUCUCAAACAUAUGCACAAACAUUCACAGUAACACAAUCAAACCCAUCAAGAUGGACUCAUCCUCAGCUGUAUUGUCCGGGAGAUGAAAAUGUUACACAGGAACUAUCGCAUAAUCAGAGCAACAUGCUACCUUUUGAAUUUACAUCAUAAUUUACAAGUAAGUUUAUCUUUUAUAUUUAUUUACUGACCAAUACAACAAACACAACUAUAUGGUAGUUAUUGACAAAUCUAUGCUAAUCUAAGCGAAUGGCAUAGUGCUAUGCAGUGUUGGGUAAGUUACUCAAAAAAAUGACUACAUUAAAACUGUAACUUGACUACAUCUCUCCUAUCAUUAGACCAAUAGGCCACUCUUGGGCCGCUCUUGGACCGCUCUCGUCUUGGGCGCGGGUAUCCUCCUUGACAAUGAGUUUUGUUGUAGAAUGCUUUCUGUUUAAGUGCUUCAACAAAUUGCUGGUCGAGUUAAUAGCGGUAGAAAGUUCAUUAGAAAUUGCGCACAGUUUGCAUUUAACAGUAAUAUUUUUGUUUUUACGCACAAUGAAAUAAAAAUGUUUGUAUUUCCACUUGAAGAAACAACCACCACACUCCUAUCUCCGGCAAUAAAUUAAUUAACGUGAUUUCUUUUAGAAAUGCAUUUUACCCAAUAUUUUUUUCUUGUAAUGCAGGUAACGUAAUUUUAGUGACAUCAGUAACUGUAAUCAAAUUACAUAAAUUUAAAAUGUAAUGCGUUACAUUACUGUGUUAUCAGGAAAAGUAAUUAGAAUACAGUUAUGCUAUGCAUCAAAACUAGAUCGCUCCCAAUAUAAUUAACGCUAUCUAUUCUGCCCAAUCAUAAAAAGUAAAAAACAGAGAAUUAAAUGUUCUGACAUGAAAACCAGCACCAAUUAAAUGGAAAAUGUGGAGUCUUUGCAUGCAAAUGGGACAAACACUUAUUCGCCUCUUUAAAUAAAAAAAAUUUAAAAAAUCAGUUUAACGAGAGAAAAAAUUGUCUAAUCAAAUACGUUAAUCUUCAUAAAAUGUCCCAAUGCAACAAUUUAUUACAUAAUUACAUUACUCCACAUUAAAUCAACUCUUUAAUUUUAAAGAUUUAAAGUUCACCAACAGUGCCCCCAAAAAAUGAGAAUAUAUGUCUGGCUCUCUGAACUCACCCACUUUGACUCAUCUGUGCAUUGAAACGGGAACCUGACCUCAAGCCUAAGCUUAUGGUAAGAAUUGUGGUAAAUCAGCCAGACAAACUCUUUCAUCUCUUCAGUAUUUAAUGAUCUGCUUCCGGGAAAUAGGUACUUUUCUCAUAUUUUAUUACCAGUAACCAUCUAGCUGUCCCAGUACAUUAACAGCUGUGUCUUUCUCAGAAGAUAUAUUUUAGCAGCACCCUACCUCAACAGUAACAAGAUGUGAUCUGAGGUCACAAAGGGAACACUGGACAGACAGAAACCUUGGAUAACAUCUUUCUCCUGACAUUAUACCUCACCUGUGGCUAGAUUUAGCAUCACCUUCUGGAAACCUGAGGGGUUAGCAGGUAACACAGGCUCCAUUCACGUGAGCAGAUCACCAAGACAUGAACUCAAUGGUCUGUUUAUCACCAUGGAAUACUGUGUUAGAUGAUAAUGGGGGUGUUAGGACUCUGCAGACAGAGAAAUGAGCUGAUAAGUGAAGUAUAAGGUGUCCCAGUGGAGCUAUAAACCAAGAAUAAAUCCUAAGAUGUCGAUGGAUGCGUCAUAUUUCAGAGUUGCACCAAGUAGAGAGUAAAGUCCUACGACACUCUGAAAGGCGAGAGGUGAAAGGAAGCUGAACGGCCCAGAGGAAACACCUACACUCCUAACUAAACCCAGAUGUGUGAGUCAACCUAAAAAAAAGCAACAGUGUCAGCUUUCUAGUUUUUGGAUAAAGUGUAUUGAGAAAAUUGAUUUACAUAGAUUUCCCAUCACACCAGCAAAAAUAUCAAAACAACAAUGUAAAUCAAUAGGUUUUAAGAUGAGCUCUUUGAUGGUUAAAUGAAUUUAGCUUUCAAUUGUAGUUUUUUGUUGUUGUUGUCUAUACAGGGCCUGAUUUCCUCAUGUAAAGUGAUGAUAUGUUGAAGGGAACUGAACUAAAAUGUUCUCUGUCAACCCUCUUCCACACAAUCAGACACUUCUCCCCACAUUCCCUAAGCGACACAAGUCAAAAGCCAAGACAAGCUGAUAAAAAUGGUCUGGUCUCAUCCUGGCUACAAGCUAAAUAAUGGAACAUUGUUUUGCUUCCCACUGCUUUAAAAUAUGAAGUAACAGCAAAUAGCUGUUUGCUCUCAACAUUGGCCUUAAGGAGCCACCAUAUUGUCAAUAUACUGUCAAGGCAGCUAAAUAUUGACAAAAACAUUAUUUAAGGAAUAAAAAAGUAUUUGAGAAAUCAUGUUCAGUCUUCUGAUAUACUGUGUAAACUCAGCAUAGAAUAAUUAAUGAAUGUGCUGUG
This is a long non-coding RNA of Megalobrama amblycephala (Wuchang bream), 4851 nucleotides long. RefSeq lists it as uncharacterized. Lineage: Eukaryota; Metazoa; Chordata; Actinopteri; Cypriniformes; Xenocyprididae. The transcript is spliced from 3 exons. The record is from RefSeq and is a predicted model, not a curated record.